UACGUAGGGGGCUAGCGUUGUCCGGAUUUAUUGGGCGUAAAGAGCGUGUAGGCGGCCUGGUAGGUCUGCUGUGAAAACUCGAGGCUCAACCUCGAGAUGUCGGCGGAAACCACCUGGCUAGAGUCCGGAAGGGGCUACUGGAAUUCCGUGUGUAGCGGUGAAAUUCGUAGAUAUCGGGAGGAACACCAGUGGCGAAGGCGGCUCUCUGGGCAAUGACUGACACUGAGACGCGAAAGCGUGGGUAGCAAACAGG
Molecule: ribosomal RNA, 253 nt
Filed under: uncultured bacterium
Lineage: Bacteria
Description: partial 16S ribosomal RNA
Rfam family: Bacterial small subunit ribosomal RNA
Source: RNAcentral